AACGAACGCUGGCGGCAGGCCUAACACAUGCAAGUCGAGCGCCCCGCAAGGGGAGCGGCGGACGGGUUAGUAACGCGUGGGAAUGUACCCUUUUCUACGGAAUAGCCUCGGGAAACUGAGAUUAAUACCGUAUACGCCCGGUAACGGGGAAAGAUUUAUCGGAGAAGGAUCAGCCCGCGUAAGAUUAGAUAGUUGGUGGGGUAAUGGCCUACCAAGUCUACGAUCUUUAGCUGGUUUGAGAGGAUGAUCAGCAACACUGGGACUGAGACACGGCCCAGACUCCUACGGGAGGCAGCAGUGGGGAAUCUUAGACAAUGGGCGCAAGCCUGAUCUAGCCAUGCCGCGUGAGUGAAGAAGGCCUUAGGGUCGUAAAGCUCUUUCAGUGGGGAAGAUAAUGACGGUACCCACGGAAGAAACCCCGGCUAACUCCGUG
Molecule: ribosomal RNA, 433 nt
Filed under: uncultured bacterium
Lineage: Bacteria
Description: bacterial SSU rRNA
Rfam family: Bacterial small subunit ribosomal RNA
Source: RNAcentral